Molecule: ribosomal RNA, 881 nt
Filed under: uncultured Halomonas sp.
Lineage: Bacteria; Pseudomonadati; Pseudomonadota; Gammaproteobacteria; Oceanospirillales; Halomonadaceae
Description: bacterial SSU rRNA
Rfam family: Bacterial small subunit ribosomal RNA
Source: RNAcentral
UUUGAUCCUGGCUCAGAUUGAACGCUGGCGGCAGGCCUAACACAUGCAAGUCGAGCGGCAGCACGGGAAGCUUGCUUCCUGGUGGCGAGCGGCGGACGGGUGAGUAAUGCAUAGGAAUCUGCCCGGUAGUGGGGGAUAACCUGGGGAAACCCAGGCUAAUACCGCAUACGCCCUACGGGGGAAAGCAGGGGCUCUUCGGACCUUGCGCUAUCGGAUGAGCCUAUGUCGGAUUAGCUGGUUGGUGAGGUAAUGGCUCACCAAGGCGACGAUCCGUAGCUGGUCUGAGAGGAUGAUCAGCCACAUCGGGACUGAGACACGGCCCGAACUCCUACGGGAGGCAGCAGUGGGGAAUAUUGGACAAUGGGCGCAAGCCUGAUCCAGCCAUGCCGCGUGUGUGAAGAAGGCCCUCGGGUUGUAAAGCACUUUCAGUGGGGAAGAACGCCUUCCGGUUAAUACCCGGGAGGAAAGACAUCACCCACAGAAGAAGCACCGGCUAACUCCGUGCCAGCAGCCGCGGUAAUACGGAGGGUGCGAGCGUUAAUCGGAAUUACUGGGCGUAAAGCGCGCGUAGGUGGCUCGAUAAGCCGGUUGUGAAAGCCCCGGGCUCAACCUGGGAACGGCAUCCGGAACUGUCAGGCUAGAGUGCAGGAGAGGAAGGUAGAAUUCCCGGUGUAGCGGUGAAAUGCGUAGAGAUCGGGAGGAAUACCAGUGGCGAAGGCGGCCUUCUGGACUGACACUGACACUGAGGUGCGAAAGCGUGGGUAGCAAACAGGAUUAGAUACCCUGGUAGUCCACGCCGUAAACGAUGUCGACUAGCCGUUGGGUCCUUCGCGGACUUUGUGGCGCAGUUAACGCGAUAAGUCGACCGCCUGGGGAGUACG